AUUGAACGCUAGCGGGAUGCUUUACACAUGCAAGUCGAACGGCAGCGCGGACUUCGGUCUGGCGGCGAGUGGCGAACGGGUGAGUAAUGCAUCGGAACGUGCCCAGUAGCGGGGGAUAACUACGCGAAAGCGUAGCUAAUACCGCAUACGCCCUACGGGGGAAAGCAAGGGAUCGUAAGACCUUGCACUAUUGGAGCGGCCGAUAUCGGAUUAGCUAGUUGGUGAGGUAACGGCUCACCAAGGCGACGAUCCGUAGCUGGUUUGAGAGGACGACCAGCCACACUGGGACUGAGACACGGCCCAGACUCCUACGGGAGGCAGCAGUGGGGAAUUUUGGACAAUGGGGGCAACCCUGAUCCAGCCAUCCCGCGUGUGCGAUGAAGGCCUUCGGGUUGUAAAGCACUUUUGGCAGGAAAGAAACGUCGCGGGCUAAUACCCCGUGGAACUGACGGUACCUGCAGAAUAAGCACCGGCUAACUACGUG
Molecule: ribosomal RNA, 484 nt
Filed under: uncultured bacterium
Lineage: Bacteria
Description: partial 16S ribosomal RNA
Rfam family: Bacterial small subunit ribosomal RNA
Source: RNAcentral